Molecule: ribosomal RNA, 329 nt
Filed under: uncultured eukaryote
Lineage: Eukaryota
Description: partial 18S ribosomal RNA
Rfam family: Eukaryotic small subunit ribosomal RNA
Source: RNAcentral
CCCUUAGAUGUUCUGGGCCGCACGCGCGCUACCCUGAUGCAUUCAACGAGUCUAAAACCUGCUCUGAUAGGGGUGGGUAAUCUUUUGAAUGUGCAUCGUGAUUGGGAUAGAUGAUUGCAAUUUUUCAUCUUCAACGAGGAAUGCCUAGUAAACGCAAGUCAUCAGCUUGCAUUGAUUACGUCCCUGCCCUUUGUACACACCGCCCGUCGCUCCUACCGAUUGAAUGAUCCGAUGAAUAUCAUGGAUUGAGGAUGCAAGCAGGUUCGCCUGUCUUCAUCUUCGAGAAGUGAAGUAAAUCUUAUCAUUUAGAGGAAGGAGAAGUCGUAACA